CCUACGGGAGGCAGCAGUGAGGAAUAUUGGUCAAUGGGCUUACGCCUGAACCAGCCAAGUCGCGUGAGGGAAGACUGCUCUAUGGGUUGAAAACCUCUUUUGUCAGGGAGCAAUUGGCGCUACGUGUAGCGAUAUCGAGAGUACAUGAAGAAAAAGCAUCGGGUAAGUCCGUGUCAGCAGCCGCGGUAAUACGAGGGAAGCGAGGGUUCUCCGGAUUUAUGGGGGUUAACGGGUGCGUAGGCGGAGUGCAAAGUCAGCGGUAACAUCGCGGGCCUCAACCUCGGUCCGCCGUUGAAACUGGGCUUCUUGAGGGGGCGAGAGGUAGGCGGAAUGCGUGGUGUAG
Molecule: ribosomal RNA, 343 nt
Filed under: uncultured bacterium
Lineage: Bacteria
Description: partial 16S ribosomal RNA
Rfam family: Bacterial small subunit ribosomal RNA
Source: RNAcentral